This 253-nucleotide ribosomal RNA is filed under the name uncultured bacterium. RNAcentral describes it as "partial 16S ribosomal RNA". It matches the Rfam family "Bacterial small subunit ribosomal RNA", at positions 524 to 776 of the family's 1533-position model. The record is from RNAcentral.
UACGUAGGAUGCAAGCGUUGUCCGGAUUUACUGGGCGUAAAGAGCUCGUAGGCGGGGACGCGCGUCUCGGAGUAAAUUCCAGGGCUCAACCCUGGAGCUUUCCGGGAUACGGCGUCUCUUGAGGGCAGAAGAGGAGAACGGAAUUCCCGGUGUAGAGGUGAAAUGCGCAGAUAUCGGGAAGAACACCCGUGGCGAAGGCGGCACUCUGGGACGGUACUGACGCUGAGACGCGAAAGCGUGGGGAGCGAACAGG